UAACGGACAACGAAGAUUUAUUUCAAGUAUUUACAAAAGCUAAUAUGAUAAGACAACAUUACAAUAACAAGGGCAUAUCCAACUCCGCUUCCUAAUGACUUCCUAAUGACGCUUCCUAAUGAGGUUAAGGUGUGACCUAAAAAUCGGAAACAUAGCAAAGAGCUAACUUGUAUUCAGAAAUACCUAUUACCUUUGGAUUAGUGCAAAACAAAAUAAACCUACACUGUACAUUCGACAAGAUACUACUCUUCCAAUAGAAAAGAAAUAUGACAGGAAGCCUAUAUGUACAUAUUCCAGCUUCGAAAUGCUUCCUCAAUACCUUCUGUUCAGCUACAUUAUGUACACAAAUUUGUAAACCUUAACGACAGCAAUGGAGAACCAGUUGCUUUCCCCAUCCAUGCUCAUGCUUGCAGUUAAACUUCCUCGUCCUCAGACUGGACUUCUUUUUUGGCCACAUUACACUCGUCAUUAUCAAGAUAGAAAUUAGAUGAAGGCCAGCCACGGAACGUAGCGAGAGACAUAAUUUCCUCUUCCGUGAGCGUAUUAGCGAGCUUGUGGACGAGAUCGGCAACACCGUACGAACUACGUCGAGGUGGAACCCAGUAAGAAGCACCAGGACGGAACGGAAGCCAAUCGGGAGCCGAUCGUCGUACUAUGAUCCGAUGAAUGGCUUCCUCAAUCCUCUGCACCGCUAGCGCCUCCGCCUCUGCCUCCGGGGUGUCAGAUCCGGUGCUCCUGUCUGCCUGAGUGGACUCGCUUCUAGAAGCUACCAGUAGCAGAGCAUUUCGGGUGGUGUAUGAGGUGGCGACGGUGGUGGUUCGGAUCAGAUUUAGGGCUUGAGCGAUGGAACGGGCCAUAGAAUUGAGAAGAAUUAGGUAGUUCUAUAAAUAGAUAAACAAACACCGAUGUGG
This 911-nucleotide unclassified non-coding RNA is filed under the name Hevea brasiliensis (rubber tree). Lineage: Eukaryota; Viridiplantae; Streptophyta; Magnoliopsida; Malpighiales; Euphorbiaceae. The record is from RNAcentral.